Molecule: long non-coding RNA, 555 nt
Organism: Prionailurus viverrinus (fishing cat)
Lineage: Eukaryota; Metazoa; Chordata; Mammalia; Carnivora; Felidae
Exons: 2
Source: RefSeq, a predicted model, not a curated record
GGAAGGUGGGCGAGAGCGCGUGGGGGCGGCUCUUCGCUGAGUCGCGAGUCGGGGCGGCCCCUGGGCGCCGCUCCCUGCUAGUGGCGGGGGGCGCGGGCUCGCGCAGGGCGGGGGAGAGUCCCUGGGCAGCCGGCCGCGCGGGCGGAGUGAAUGAUGGGGAGAGGCCGGCACGCAGCCGCACGGUCCGGCCCGGACCCGGAGUUUUGGGAGCCCAGGUGCCCAGGGAGACAUAGCCCCACAAGACAUCAGUCCGACAGACCGGGACUAAGGCAAGUCCCGAAGUCACAGCCAGUCUGCCAGGACCCAGGUGGACCGCAUUCUGCUUCGUAGGAUCAUCCCGAAGAAAGGACAGCAACGUGCAGGACGAGGUUGCCUGCCCUCCUGUCUGCAAGCCUUCCGUCACAGGCAGAUUCUUUUUGGUUGAAUUUCCUUCCUGAAACCAGCUGUGGCUUCCUCUUCUUCGUUUGUUGUUUGCAGAGUUUUAAAGUAGACUCCUGCGUUUAUAGGUUUUGGGAUUCUUUUGGUUGUAAGUGACAGAAAGCAGUUCAAACCGGC